UAGGUGAGUAUGUUUGGGGUUUGCGUGAGAUGAGGAUACCAGGGGUUGGGGGAACCCCUUGCAUAAUAGAUCGUGUGGUUUUUCUGCCUGGGUAGGUGACUGAGGCACUAAGGCAGGCUGUGCAGGGCCUGCUGGAAGAGCGAGAGCAGCAGAAGUACCAGAUCUCUGCCCUAGAAGCAUCACUAAGGUUGCUGCAGGGGGGCCCAGAGCAAAGGGUCCUUCUCCUGGAGCAACGCCUGGAGGGGCUGAGAAGGGAACUGCAGGGCCUUCGAAGCUAGGUACAGGAACAGGCGUGAGCCCAAAUACAAACAGGACCACAAAAGUGCAGUGCUACCAGUGGCCUUCACCAAGAGCUGCAGAAUGAGCUGCAACUGCUGUGGGAGGAGUCAGAGAUUCUUUGGGAGGAAUUGAAGUUGCUGCAGGACCAGCUGAGCCAGCACCAGGAGCUGCUGCUGAAACAGAUGACUGAGGGGCGGCAAGCUCAGGCCCACAGCUGGAAGAUCUCCAGAGGCAUACCCUUUCUAACCUGCAGCCCAGCAGCUUUCAGCUCCAGGCCCAGAACCCUAUACUUUAAGGGCCCCAAGAUGCUCCUGAGUGACUGUAAGGACUUGUAAGAGCAGUAGGAUGAUGUCUUCUUUGCUCACCUUCCCUUCCAAGGUCCUGUUUCUGGGUCCCCUUCCCCUCCCCUCUUGAUCU
Non-coding RNA from Globicephala melas (long-finned pilot whale), 696 nucleotides. The record is from RefSeq and is a predicted model, not a curated record. Lineage: Eukaryota; Metazoa; Chordata; Mammalia; Artiodactyla; Delphinidae.